RNAcentral lists this ribosomal RNA (253 nucleotides) under uncultured bacterium. RNAcentral's name for it is "partial 16S ribosomal RNA". It matches the Rfam family "Bacterial small subunit ribosomal RNA", at positions 524 to 776 of the family's 1533-position model. The record is from RNAcentral.
CACGUAGGGCGCAAGCGUUGUCCGGAAUUAUUGGGCGUAAAGAGCUCGUAGGCGGUCCGUCACGUCCGCUGUGAAAACCCAGGGCUCAACCCUGGGCUUGCAGUGGAUACGGGCAGACUAGAGGUAGGUAGGGGAGAAUGGAAUUCCCGGUGUAGCGGUGAAAUGCGCAGAUAUCGGGAGGAACACCGGUGGCGAAGGCGGCUACCUGGACAGAAACUGACGCUGAGGCACGAAAGCUAGGGGAGCAAACAGG